This 349-nucleotide unclassified non-coding RNA is filed under the name soil metagenome. Its description in RNAcentral is "partial contains 5.8S ribosomal RNA, internal transcribed spacer 2, and large subunit ribosomal RNA". The stretch from base 1 to 120 matches the Rfam family "5.8S ribosomal RNA", at positions 35 to 154 of the family's 154-position model. The record is from RNAcentral.
GAUGAAGAACGCAGCGAAAUGCGAUAAGUAAUGUGAAUUGCAGAAUUCAGUGAAUCAUCGAAUCUUUGAACGCACAUUGCGCCCGCCAGUAUUCUGGCGGGCAUGCCUGUUCGAGCGUCAUUACAACCCUCAGGCCCCCGGGCCUGGCGUUGGGGAUCGGCGGAGCCCCCCGUGGGCACACGCCGUCCCCCAAAUACAGUGGCGGUCCCGCCGCAGCUUCCAUCGCGUAGUAGCUAACACCUCGCGACUGGAGAGCGGCGCGGCCACGCCGUAAAACACCCAACUCUUCUGAAGUUGACCUCGAAUCAGGUAGGAAUACCCGCUGAACUUAAGCAUAUCAAGCGGAGGA